CAUGUGAUUCUCCUCCUUGUUUCACCAGGCUGGGGCAGGGGGGUGAAUGGGACUUCGUUGCCACAACAAAAGGGUUACCCAAUGCUGGAUCUGAAACUGGCUUUGCCUGUGCUGCAGGCAAAUGAUUCAUCUCAAUAGGUAGCAGGCUGAUUAAGGAUGCCAGUGAUAAUUCCUCUUUACAGAGGAAUGAACGAUGAGAGUGUAAACAUCCAAAUGGUUUUCUACAUAUUUUUCCAAGAGAAGAAGAGUGGUUGUUUUAGAGAUCUGCUUCCACCUUCUCUGCCAUCACACAGCAAGG
Myiozetetes cayanensis is the source of this 298-nucleotide long non-coding RNA. RefSeq lists it as uncharacterized. The record is from RefSeq and is a predicted model, not a curated record. NCBI's taxonomy places the organism in Eukaryota, Metazoa, Chordata, Aves, Passeriformes, Tyrannidae. The transcript has 3 exons.